Molecule: small RNA, 169 nt
Filed under: Calidris pugnax (ruff)
Lineage: Eukaryota; Metazoa; Chordata; Aves; Charadriiformes; Scolopacidae
Description: TUC338 (ENSCPUG00000019245.1)
Source: RNAcentral
CCGAUGCUUGUUAAGAAAGAAGUCCUUUGUUUGUGUAUGGCACAGGGCAGCACAGAGAGCAGCAGCCCAAGCUUCCUAUGUAGCUCUAUCAGAUGUCUCAUCCUUGACCUGGAAUAGGGGGAGGUGAAAGGUUAGUCCAUUCUUCAUGCUCAUUCAAUACUUCGUGUCU